UUGCACGCUGGCGGCAGGCCUCACACAUGCCAGUCGAGCGGAUGAAGGGAGCUUGCUCCUGGAUUCAGCGGCGGACGGGUGAGUAAUGCCUAGGAAUCUGCCUGGUAGUGGGGGAUAACGUCCGGAAACGGGCGCUAAUACCGCAUACGUCCUGAGGGAGAAAGUGGGGGAUCUUCGGACCUCACGCUAUCAGAUGAGCCUAGGUCGGAUUAGCUAGUUGGUGGGGUAAAGGCCUACCAAGGCGACGAUCCGUAACUGGUCUGAGAGGAUGAUCAGUCACACUGGAACUGAGACACGGUCCAGACUCCUACGGGAGGCAGCAGUAGGGAAUAUUGGACAAUGGGCGAAAGCCUGAUCCAGCCAUGCCGCGUGUGUGAAGAAGGUCUUCGGAUUGUAAAGCACUUUAAGUUGGGAGGAAGGGCAGUAAGUUAAUACCUUGCUGUUUUGACGUUACCAACAGAAUAAGCACCGGCUAACUUCGUG
RNAcentral lists this ribosomal RNA (483 nucleotides) under uncultured bacterium. Its description in RNAcentral is "partial 16S ribosomal RNA". It matches the Rfam family "Bacterial small subunit ribosomal RNA", at positions 30 to 507 of the family's 1533-position model. The record is from RNAcentral.